RNAcentral lists this unclassified non-coding RNA (180 nucleotides) under soil metagenome. RNAcentral's name for it is "partial internal transcribed spacer 1". The record is from RNAcentral.
CUGAUUUUUGCCGAGGUAGGUUGAGUCUUUCGGGACUCCCUACUAAAGCGAAUACACCACUUGUGCACUAAAAAUGUCUUUUGGGUCAUUGGGAAAUUAUCUUAAAAAGAUUGAUUAACCGGGGCCCAGAUUUUUAUAAACCAAUUAAUUUUUUGUCUGAAAUAAAUCUAGUAAUAGAAA